Molecule: ribosomal RNA, 115 nt
Filed under: Ophiocordyceps sinensis
Lineage: Eukaryota; Fungi; Ascomycota; Sordariomycetes; Hypocreales; Ophiocordycipitaceae
Description: partial 28S rRNA
Rfam family: Eukaryotic large subunit ribosomal RNA
Source: RNAcentral
GUUGACCUCGGAUCAGGUAGGGAUACCCGCUGAACUUAAGCAUAUCAAUAAGCGGAGGAAAAGAAACCAACAGGGAUUGCCCCAGUAACGGCGAGUGAAGCGGCAACAGCUCAAA